UGUUAAAAAUUUUAUCUAUUUAUAUUGUUAAAAAUUGACUUGUCUAACGAAAUAAUCAAAUAGUAAUACGUGAUGUGCUACAUGUAUGUCAUGUUAAUGUACAAAGAUCAAUUUUUAAUAAUAGAAAUUGAUGAAAUUUUUAACA
This is a non-coding RNA of Gossypium hirsutum (cotton), 145 nucleotides long. NCBI's taxonomy places the organism in Eukaryota, Viridiplantae, Streptophyta, Magnoliopsida, Malvales, Malvaceae. The record is from Rfam.